UUGGGAAACCUGCAGCCCACCAAUCACACCUCACUCUUUUAUUCCCCUUCAUGCUGCGGCAGGCGAAUUCCUCGGUUCAAGGAGGCCCACCAGGUGGCUGUCUGGGGGUCAUCAAAGGUGACCUGGAAAGCCCUUUUCUGCACUGGAGACAUGACGAUGGAAUAGGGACAACAUCUCUUAACAUCAGGAAGGUUACCAGAGGUGACUUGCUGGGAGAAAAGGGUAGAGAGUAGUUCGUGGGGAAUGUGGUUGGAAGAGCUGGGAAACGUCUGCUACUGUGGGGCACAGGCUUCCAAUUAGAACAUGUGGCUGGAUCUAGUGCAGGGUGGGCCCUGCUCCAUCACCACCCUUGAUAUGAAGUGGCAUUGUGCGCCUUCGUCUUGUUUUCCCUAAAUAAGAAGUGCUUUUUACUUAAGAAAUUCAGCCAAGAAUUCUGUUGCCUCUGGUCCUCGUCUCCAUGUCCUUACAUGCCCCACGGCUUGAAGGCGAGGAGCUCUCUCUUCAGGGCCUGCGUUGUUCUCGUAACUUCCGUCCUGCUAUGCCAAUCCUCAAGCCUAGGGAAAAGUGACUGGAGAGACUUAAGAAAAGAAACUAAAUCGGGCUGGGCGUGAUGGCUCAUGCCUGUAAUCCCAGCGCUUUGGGAGGCCGAGGUGGGCGCAUCGCCUAACGUCGGGAGUUCGAGACCAGUGUGACCAAAAUGGAGAAACCCCGUCUCUAUUGAAAAUACAAAAUUAGUCAGGUGUGGUAGCGUAUGCCUGUAAUCCCAGCUACUCGGGAGGCUGAGGCAGGAGAAUCAUUUGAACCCUGGAGGCAGAGGUUGCAGUGAGCUGAGAUUAUGCCACUGCACUCCAGCUUGGGCAACAAGAGUGAAACUCCAUCUCAAAAAAAAAAAAAGAAAAAAAAAGAAACUAAAUCAACAUAAGCAGCUUUGAUUAUUUAAUAAAGGUACCUAUUCUCACUUUAUUUCAAUGUAAAAUGAAUCUAGGAAAAGUAUUACUAGUUAUUCAGGAGCUACAGAGGAGUGUUGUGAUGGUAAUCUAAUAUUCUUAAAUUUUAGAAUAUGUCAUCUUCUGCUUUCUGUUAUUGUUUGUGUGUGUGUGUGUGUGUGCAUGUGCGCUUAUGUUGUGUGCAUGCACACCGUAGGGGUUCAGGAAAACACCAGUGUUAUCCUGUGGAUGUAAG
This 1182-nucleotide long non-coding RNA is filed under the name Macaca mulatta (Rhesus monkey). RNAcentral describes it as "lncRNA (ENSMMUG00000054287.1)". Lineage: Eukaryota; Metazoa; Chordata; Mammalia; Primates; Cercopithecidae. The record is from RNAcentral.